This 253-nucleotide ribosomal RNA is filed under the name uncultured bacterium. RNAcentral's name for it is "partial 16S ribosomal RNA". It matches the Rfam family "Bacterial small subunit ribosomal RNA", at positions 524 to 776 of the family's 1533-position model. The record is from RNAcentral.
UACGAAGGGGGCUAGCGUUGCUCGGAAUCACUGGGCGUAAAGCGCACGUAGGCGGCUUCUUAAGUCAGGGGUGAAAUCCUGGAGCUCAACUCCAGAACUGCCUUUGAUACUGAGAAGCUUGAGACCGGGAGAGGUGAGUGGAAUUCCCAGUGUAGCGGUGAAAUGCGUAGAUAUUGGGAGGAACACCAGUGGCGAAGGCGGCUCACUGGACCGGAACUGACGCUGAGGCGCGAAAGCGUGGGGAGCAAACAGG